UGCACAUUAAUGCCAGUAACAUAUGAAUAAUUCUAUGCUGUGAGGGUGUUUGGUACAGCGUAAGAAAUGUUGUGGCAAAUACUGCAGCACCCAGUUAGCCCUGCAAUAGAACAAGUCAGUCACUUAUCGUAACAUCUUCCACAAAUAGACAAGGGCAUUGUUGUUUUGAACAGUGCAGCGUUUUCAAAUCUUUGCCAAUGGCCAGUUCACGCAGGAAACACUUUGCCCAACGCUGUAUGUAACGAAGGUAUAGCGCUUCGCACUAAAAAAUACGAGCAAAAAAAUGAAAGUUAAGAUAAACGUUGAUAACACAUAACUUGCAUUUAUUCUCAUAAAACAUUCCUUCUUGUCGUACAGAUUAAAAAAGAAAAGUCUUUCAGCGUCAGUCUAGUAGAGAAA
Folsomia candida is the source of this 399-nucleotide long non-coding RNA. RefSeq lists it as uncharacterized. NCBI's taxonomy places the organism in Eukaryota, Metazoa, Arthropoda, Collembola, Entomobryomorpha, Isotomidae. The transcript is spliced from 2 exons. The record is from RefSeq and is a predicted model, not a curated record.